Molecule: long non-coding RNA, 585 nt
Organism: Neofelis nebulosa (Clouded leopard)
Lineage: Eukaryota; Metazoa; Chordata; Mammalia; Carnivora; Felidae
Exons: 2
Source: RefSeq, a predicted model, not a curated record
UGCCCGUUUUGUUGUUUGCAUUAGCAGAAGAACCACAGCCAUCGCCCGUCUCCCAUCUCCAAGAUGGCGGAGGCAGCUUCAACCUCACCUCUCGCGAGGAGUUUGUCCCACUGUCUCUGAUUAGCCCCGAGGUCAGAGGGCAGCCACAGAUGGUAUAUGAUUUGUGAAACUUUGUGGAUCCCUUUCCCACAUCGCCAGUCUUCAUCCCAUUACCUGUCGUUCAGGUAUCACAGGCUUUGUGAGAACUCAGCUGCCAGAAUUUUAACAAUGAGAGAAAACAUUCAUUCUCACUUCUGAAGGCUUUCAUUGCUGUAAUGAUCUCCAGGUGCUGUGUUGGAACUCUAGAACUGGUGCAAGCUGUUUUCACACCAUUUGCCUCCUGUUGCGUGCCCUUCCUCUCUAUGCAGAUCAGAGUCUGGAAAUCCGGAUAGCGGGAUGUUGACAAAUUCCAGUGCUCUAUUAAACUUUUUUCUCCCUCCCCCCCACCCCCGCCAAAUCUUGUUCCUUCCCCAGGGUUCCAUCCUCUGUCUUCCUCUCACUCAACACCCUGCUGCUUGAAUUCAAUAAAAUGCUAUGAUCUACCAA